Lolium perenne is the source of this 1187-nucleotide non-coding RNA. NCBI's taxonomy places the organism in Eukaryota, Viridiplantae, Streptophyta, Magnoliopsida, Poales, Poaceae. The record is from RefSeq and is a predicted model, not a curated record.
ACAAACAAAACACGCCAUCCAAACCUAAACCUAAACCAAGCCGCACAUCCAGCCGCCACUCAACCUCAGCUCCCGCCCCCCGCCAGAUUCCCUCCUUCACGCCGCCUCCAUUCGUGCCGCCGCCUUCCGGCAACGGAUCCGCCGGGGCCUCGCCGGACGGUGCACCGCCCAUGCCUCCUCCGCCGCCGGUCGUCUCCAAGGUUGCCGCACGCCAUCGAGAGCUUCACUUCUACCAGCACAAGACCCACGCCCUCGCUCACCUGCCUCCGGUCACUACCUCUCCUCCUCCUCCUCCUCCUCCUCCUCCUCCUCCUAAAAAGUAGGCCUCUUCCUUCCAUUCCUCACGCAGUUUCAUUUUCAUCUCAUUCCCACCUGAUCUCGUCCACGGCAACACCACCUGCAAAUCCACGACGAGAUGCCGGCCAAGCUCAUCCUCCACGACCCGCGACAACCCGUAGCGCCGCAGCAGAGUGUCCGCGUCCAUUCAGAUGCAAGGGAGUAAGAGUAACUGAAUGAAUACUUACAAGCGGCCGAGGGAGGACCAGCCACAGCAGCUAACAUCAUCCACAAGUGCCUGCAUCCUUGAGGAGGCGCCCCUGUGCCUGUGGAUCUACAAUCCAGUGUACUCCCUCUGUUCGGGUUUAGAGGUCCGGAGAGCUUUUCCAGGUUGUUCGGCAAUACUAGUUCGGAGUAUUAACUCCCCUUAAUUCCCGUGCAAAAUUAACUACCCAGCGAUAACUCCUCUUUCCUCUCUAUGCAUGUGAUCCGUGGACAACAAAACUGCCCAAUGCAUGCGCUAUUUUCAUGGCGAUGGAUUGGCGAGUAACCAUCCUCGUGGAUUGCCUUCCUUUCAACCGUGCGAUGCAGGAAGGAGGAAAAGGAGAUCAGCUAACCUAUUUAAGUGGAGAGAUUACAGUUGCAGUUAAUAGAAUCCAAACCGACCCCGACGUUAGCUCCUUGUUUCCAGUGCAGCGUCUUGGUAUUAGCGAUUCUGCUCUCCGGACCUCUAAACCCGAACAGAGGGAGUAUAUCUGCCACCAUCAAAGGGACCACACUUAUUUUGGAAGGCCCAGCAUCGCCCUUGCACAGUAUGUCUUCUCUGUGAUCCUUGAGACCUUGAUAACAAGUAUGCUUGCUCUGUUUCUGGUGUCAUCAUAAAAUAUCUUACAUAGCAGCAAACCUCUGCA